Pseudopipra pipra is the source of this 1101-nucleotide long non-coding RNA. RefSeq lists it as uncharacterized. Lineage: Eukaryota; Metazoa; Chordata; Aves; Passeriformes; Pipridae. The transcript has 3 exons. The record is from RefSeq and is a predicted model, not a curated record.
ACAACCUGGAGCAGUUUCCAGUAUUAGAUUGCAAAGAUGGCCUUUGCUGCAUCUCCUUGAGCAAGGAAAGCCAAGAAACCUUUGCUUUUGCAGGAGAAAAUGGGGCAAGCGGGCAGGAAGAAGAGAAGCCCCGUGACUCCUCCCUGAGCCCCAGCCAGCCCCUGAACUGCCUUCCUGGGAAUGGUGGGAUGGGCUGGACUCUGGAUUGCUCCCUCUGGAUGUGUGGCUCUCCCCUCAGGAACUGCAGGAACUCCUGGUGCCGCCUGGGCCGAUGGAUUGGACGCCCCAGCCCCUCCGUUCCUGCCCAGCCACUGGGGCUGUGUCGAGUGGUGGCACUGCCAGCCCUGCAGUGGGAUGGAGCCUGGAAAGUGCACAGAGCUGAGCCAAGGGAUUGAAAGGGACCAAGCCAGGGAGGUGAAGAAAGAAGGAAGAAGGGAAGUGAGGCAGCAGGCAAGCAGCACCAAGUUCCUGUGUAAGCAGGUGAGUUGUGUUGAGGUUCCUAAGGCAGGCACUGAGGACUUGGAGGGCUCCAGACAGAGCAGACCUGGGAAGGCCCUCGGUGAAGCCCCUCAGAGACCUUCUAAGGGUAGGUGUGUAUGGUGAUCAGUGUUGGGAUUGUCCUGAAUGUGGAACAGGAAUGCAGGGAAGGAAAAUGAACCCUCCUGUAAUGCUGCCAUAUCAGCUGCAGUGGAGACACCUGUGUGUGCCCUUUGGGAUCUGAUUGCCAGGACCCCCAUGGGGCUGGGAUCAUGGCAGGGUGUUGUAAGCAAGGAAUGCCUGGCUUCUUAAAGUCACCAGCUGAGUCUUAGAGGCUUCUUUGAAGAGCUGAGUCCAGGCAGCAAAAUUGCCCCCCCCAGGAGGGACUCUGUGCCUGCUCUCCCGUGGCUCCAAGGGAUCUCUGGCCCUUCACGCCGGCACCGAGAUUUUCUCGGGAAGGGCCUCAGAUCCCCGGACCAGUCUGGGACACAGGCAAGAUCCCCCUGCCUUUAGAAAUGAGGCCUUCUUGUGGCUUCCUCCCCGUACCCGUUGGUGGGUUCCAAAGAAGGCCUCUGGAAAUGCCUUUUGGGCUGUCCAUUGAAGCCUUGGGACCAAAUUGGGCCC